This 253-nucleotide ribosomal RNA is filed under the name uncultured bacterium. Its description in RNAcentral is "partial 16S ribosomal RNA". It matches the Rfam family "Bacterial small subunit ribosomal RNA", at positions 524 to 776 of the family's 1533-position model. The record is from RNAcentral.
AACGGAGGGGGCAAGCGUUAUUCAUCCUUAUUGGGCGUAAAGAGCUCGUAGGCGGUUUGUCGCGUCUGCUGUGAAAACUCAGGGCUUAACCCUGAGCCUGCAGUGGGUACGGGCAGACUAGAGUGUGGUAGGGGAGAUCGGAAUUCCUGGUGUAGCGGUGAAAUGCGCAGAUAUCAGGAGGAACACCGGUGGCGAAGGCGGUUCUCUGGGCAUUACCUGACGCUGAGGAGCGAAAGUGUGGGGAGCGAACAGG